AUACUUAACUUGGCAGAGGAGAUGCCAUGAUCACGAAGGUGGUUUUCCUGGGGCCAGGCAUGCCAUUGCACUCCAGAUAUGCUGGCCCCUGUGAUUUCCCCAAAUGCGGACACGCAACUGCAUAAUCGAGUAGUGGGGGCUGCAUUUGUUCUCUCCCCUG
Octodon degus (degu) is the source of this 160-nucleotide small nuclear RNA. Its record names the gene U1. It matches the Rfam family "U1 spliceosomal RNA". Rfam says of the family: U1 is a small nuclear RNA (snRNA) component of the spliceosome (involved in pre-mRNA splicing). Its 5' end forms complementary base pairs with the 5' splice junction, thus defining the 5' donor site of an intron. The record is from Ensembl. NCBI's taxonomy places the organism in Eukaryota, Metazoa, Chordata, Mammalia, Rodentia, Octodontidae.